RNAcentral lists this unclassified non-coding RNA (216 nucleotides) under Glomeraceae sp. RNAcentral describes it as "partial contains 5.8S ribosomal RNA and internal transcribed spacer 2". The stretch from base 1 to 65 matches the Rfam family "5.8S ribosomal RNA", at positions 84 to 154 of the family's 154-position model. The record is from RNAcentral. Lineage: Eukaryota; Fungi; Glomeromycota; Glomeromycetes; Glomerales; Glomeraceae.
GUGAAUCAUCGAAUUUUUGAACGCAAAUUGCACUCUCCUCGGAGAGUAUGCCUGUUUGAGGGUCAGCCUAAAAAAAAAAAAUCGACAUCGUUGCUGUUUCGCGGUGACGUUAGUCGGAAAUUUUUUCAUCUUAAACCUUUUGGUUUUUAUUUGACUUAAAAUUUUCUUUUUACCCCAUGAACUUUUUUUUUUUUUAUAUCUUUACACGUUUAAGGG